AUUGAACGCUGGCGGCAGGCCUAACACAUGCAAGUCGAACGAGUGGCGGACGGGUGAGUAAUGUCUGGGAAACUGCCUGAUGGAGGGGGAUAACUACUGGAAACGGUAGCUAAUACCGCAUACCAUCGGAUGUGCCCAGAUGGGAUUAGCUAGUAGGUGGGGUAACGGCUCACCUAGGCGACGAUCCCUAGCUGGUCUGAGAGGAUGACCAGCCACACUGGAACUGAGACACGGUCCAGACUCCGACGGGAGGCAGCAGUGGGGAAUAUUGCACAAUGGGCGAAAGCCUGAUGCAGCCAUGCCGCGUGUAUGAAGAAGGCCUUCGGGUUGUAAAGUACUUUCAGCGGGGAGGCGUUACCCGCAGAAGAAGCACCGGCUAACUCCGUGCCAGCAGCCGCGGUAAUUC
Molecule: ribosomal RNA, 406 nt
Filed under: uncultured bacterium
Lineage: Bacteria
Description: partial 16S ribosomal RNA
Rfam family: Bacterial small subunit ribosomal RNA
Source: RNAcentral